UACGUAGGGUGCAAGCGUUGUCCGGAGUCAUUGGGCGUAAAGAGCGUGUAGGCGGCCCGAUUAGUCCGCUGUGAAAGUCCAGGGCUCAACCCUGGAAUGCCGGUGGAUACUGUCGGGCUAGAGUCCGGAAGGGGCGAGUGGAAUUCCUGGUGUAGCGGUGAAAUGCGCAGAUAUCGGGAGGAACACCGGUGGCGAAGGCGGCGAUCUGGGUCGAUACUGACGCUGAGGUGCGAAAGCGUGGGGAGCGAACAGG
Molecule: ribosomal RNA, 253 nt
Filed under: uncultured bacterium
Lineage: Bacteria
Description: partial 16S ribosomal RNA
Rfam family: Bacterial small subunit ribosomal RNA
Source: RNAcentral